UACGAAGGGGCUAGCGUUGCUCGGAAUCACUGGGCGUAAAGGGUGCGUAGGCGGGUUUUUAAGUCAGAGGUGAAAUCCUGGAGCUCAACUCCAGAACUGCCUUUGAUACUGGGAAUCUUGAGUAUGGAAGAGGUGAGUGGAACUGCGAGUGUAGAGGUGAAAUUCGUAGAUAUUCGCAAGAACACCAGUGGCGAAGGCGGCUCACUGGUCCAUAACUGACGCUGAGGCACGAAAGCGUGGGGAGCAAACAGG
Molecule: ribosomal RNA, 252 nt
Filed under: uncultured bacterium
Lineage: Bacteria
Description: partial 16S ribosomal RNA
Rfam family: Bacterial small subunit ribosomal RNA
Source: RNAcentral